ACCAGGUCUUGACAUCCUUUGACCACUCUAGAGAUAGAGCUUUCCCUUCGGGGACAAAGUGACAGGUGGUGCAUGGUUGUCGUCAGCUCGUGUCGUGAGAUGUUGGGUUAAGUCCCGCAACGAGCGCAACCCUUAUUGUUAGUUGCCAUCAUUUAGUUGGGCACUCUAGCGAGACUGCCGGUGACAAACCGGAGGAAGGUGGGGAUGACGUCAAAUCAUCAUGCCCCUUAUGACCUGGGCUACACACGUGCUACAAUGGGAAGUACAACGAGUUGCGAAGUCGCGAGGCUAAGCUAAUCUCUUAAAGCUUCUCUCAGUUCGGAUUGUAGGCUGCAACUCGCCUACAUGAAGCCGGAAUCGCUAGUAAUCGCGGAUCAGCACGCUGCGGUGAAUACGUUCCCGGGUCUUGUACACACCG
This 418-nucleotide ribosomal RNA is filed under the name uncultured prokaryote. RNAcentral describes it as "bacterial SSU rRNA". It matches the Rfam family "Bacterial small subunit ribosomal RNA", at positions 973 to 1392 of the family's 1533-position model. The record is from RNAcentral.